CCUGCUUGGUCAGGCAUGUGUUCAGUUCAGCCUUAACCGUUACACAGAGUCUUUGGACUUAUAUAAGAGGGCAUUGCAAGUGUAUCCCAAUGGUCCUGC
Molecule: long non-coding RNA, 99 nt
Organism: Papaver somniferum (opium poppy)
Lineage: Eukaryota; Viridiplantae; Streptophyta; Magnoliopsida; Ranunculales; Papaveraceae
Exons: 3
Source: RefSeq, a predicted model, not a curated record